AUGUUACAGGAAGUGAGCCAGGGAACGCUUUACCCCCAGGCUCUAGGAACCAUCAAGGUCAGGCUAGAAAAGGGCAUCGGCAAGAAGGGGUGUCUGGAGGUGUUAGGGCUGAGCUCUCUGUACAGAGAGAAUUCCGCUGUGUGGAGCAGCUGCACUCACUUACGGGUGGCUGGGUAUGAGGGCUACGGCCUGUCCUCAAGGGUCCCACCUCUUCCCCAACUUCCUGGCAUCCUAGUCAAGAUUCAGGGGGUGGGACUUCCCCUGGAAACCUGGAAAGCAGGGAGCACCGACUGCCCAUGGACGCCAGGAAGGAGGGAGCGUUGCCGCCCGUGGACCCUGAGAAGGAGGGAGCGUUGCUGCCCGUGGACGCUGGGAAGGAGGGAGCAUUGCCGCCCGUGGUCCCUGGCUGCGUGCCCUCCCCUUAGCUCCUCCACCCAAGAGGGAAGUCGAAGCUGUUUUUCCAAAGCUCUUUCUCCCCCACCUCCCCCAGCUUCCCUCUAAGAGUUCCUGCUGGUGUCCUCCACCCCCAGUCCACCAUCCAGGAGCCAAGAAUUCGUGGCAGACCCCGAGCACAGCUCGCCAAAUCAUUCGCUCAUUGUUAGACAUCUGGGGUUUUCAACUAUUUGUUUUCAUAAAAGACACUCUAAAUGCCCCUGGGCAGUGGCUCCUCUGGAGCUCCAGUCCGAGAACCUCGGGUGUGAAAUUCUGUUCUCAGCUCCGCCCCUGCCCAGGCUGCUCUACCAUCCCACGAGAGGCUGCAGUUGGAAGCCCCUUGACACCCCAGCCUCCGUGGGUGUGAGCAUCCCCAGCACCCAGACCUCGGCUUCUCGGUACCGUGUUCCAUUCAAAGUGGCCAGGACUCCUGGGAGAAAUGGCCAGCUCCAGUCUGGGAAGGGAAAACGCCAGAGGCUUAUAGGAGAUCGCGACCCUCCGGGGCUACGAGGCCGUGCGGGAGCACUCAGGAGCCUGCUCGAUGGGGGGUGUGGGGGGUGGGAGCCAAGGGUGCCAGGAGAUGGCCUGGGGCACAAGUAGCCCUACAGCUCAGGCUCUCAGACAAGCAGCUGGAAGCCUGGCGGCGCAUGGACGUUCCCACGGCUUUAAAGGACGCCCCACAGAACAUGGAUUAAUCAUCAUAGAGAGAGAGGACAACGUUGCAGGGGAGCCUGCAGACGCAGCAUCAAUAAAACCGCAGGCAUUCAUGUCACCAGAGACGGCCCAGGUGAGAUUCUACACCCCCCGCCAGGACACCCACAGAGCGCAGCCUCACCCCCUGCUGUCCCUGCCCACCCAGGAUCUCAUCACCAGGAAUCGAGAGGCAGACCCAGCCGAGGGUAUCCUGCAAAGCAACCUGAGUGCCCACAGCGUGGAGGGGCCAGGAGCCGGAACAGGGUGACACAGAUGGAGGAGAGAGGGCAGCUUGGGGCAGGGCGUGAUGCCCGCAGAUUCCCCUCUCAGAACCUCGUGGGGACAAUGGCCAGGCUGCAGUGCAGCCUCGCAUGGACCUGUCCAUUCCCCGAUUCUGACGGUGCUGAGGGCUUGCGAAUGUCCCUGUGUGCAGGAAACACAACCCAAAGAGCUGGCUGUGCAGCCCCCCACGGGCCUCUCCCAACCUGAGCGGCGCCCUCCUGGCCACUGUCCACUGCUGCCCGAGACCCUGCCCCAGCAGAAGGCACAGGCUGGGGCGGGCCUGCAAGAGUGAACCAGGUUGGCGAGGAGGGGCCUCCCAGGGCCGACGCAUCUGAGCAGCACCCUGCAGGAGGGGCAGGCCCCUCAUGCCCCAGGCACCGUCACAGGGCCUGCGAUCUCAUGCAUUCGAAUGGUACUGCAUGGGCCAGGGUGUCCCAGGGGAUCCUGUCGGGUGCCCUCCUCAGCUCUUCCACCUUCCACAGUAAGUACUUCGACAGUAUGGCUCAUGGUCACCCCAAGUCCCCGAGAAGGAAAGAGAGCGAUGCCAUGGAGAUGGGAGGCCAGCCCUGCAAAGGGCACCAUAGUCCUGGGCACCACCUCUCUUGGGGAAUGGGGGCUUGGGCACCUUCUUCUCCUCCUUCCUCCCUCCCUCCUCCCUCUCUCCCUCCUCCCUCUGACUUGCAC
This 2091-nucleotide long non-coding RNA is filed under the name Macaca fascicularis (crab-eating macaque). Its description in RNAcentral is "lncRNA (ENSMFAG00000053117.1)". Lineage: Eukaryota; Metazoa; Chordata; Mammalia; Primates; Cercopithecidae. The record is from RNAcentral.